This 76-nucleotide transfer RNA is filed under the name Oceanicoccus sp. Its description in RNAcentral is "tRNA-Arg". It matches the Rfam family "tRNA". Rfam says of the family: Transfer RNA (tRNA) molecules are approximately 80 nucleotides in length. Their secondary structure includes four short double-helical elements and three loops (D, anti-codon, and T loops). Lineage: Bacteria; Pseudomonadati; Pseudomonadota; Gammaproteobacteria; Cellvibrionales; Spongiibacteraceae. The record is from RNAcentral.
GAUGAUUGUGGCUCAGUUGGAUAGAGUGCUGGGUUCCGGACCCAGAGGUCGCUGGUUCGAGUCCAGCCAGUCAUCA